UACGAAGGGGGCUAGCGUUGCUCGGAAUUAUUGGGCGUAAAGGGUGCGUAGGCGGCCUGACAAGUCUGAUGUGGAAAGUCCCUGGGCUCAACCCAGGGCCUGCAUCGGAAACUGUCGGGCUUGAGUAUGGGAGAGGUGAGUGGAAUUUCCGGUGUAGCGGUGAAAUGCGUAGAUAUCGGAAGAACACCUGUGGCGAAAGCGGACUCACUGGACCAUUACUGACGCUGAGGCACGAAAG
RNAcentral lists this ribosomal RNA (238 nucleotides) under uncultured bacterium. RNAcentral's name for it is "partial 16S ribosomal RNA". It matches the Rfam family "Bacterial small subunit ribosomal RNA", at positions 524 to 759 of the family's 1533-position model. The record is from RNAcentral.